ACGCUGGCGGCGUGCCUAACACAUGCAAGUCGAACGGAGUAAAACGCUGAAUUGAUGUAAGCUUGCUUAUGGAUUUUCUUGUUUACUUAGUGGCGGACGGGUGAGUAACGCGUGAAUAACCUGCCUUAUACUGGGGGACAACAGUUGGAAACGACUGCUAAUACCGCAUAAGCGCACAGUUCUGCAUGGAACAGUGUGAAAAACUCCGGUGGUAUAAGAUGGAUUCGCGUCUGAUUAGCUAGUUGGUGAGGUAAUGGCUCACCAAGGCGACGAUCAGUAGCCGGCCUGAGAGGGUGAACGGCCACAUUGGGACUGAGACACGGCCCAGACUCCUACGGGAGGCAGCAGUAGGGAAUAUUGCACAAUGGAGGAAACUCUGAUGCAGCCAUGCCGCGUGUGUGAAGAAGGCCUUCGGGUUGUAAAGCACUUUCGGAGGGGAGGAAAAGAUGACGUUACCCUCAGAAGAAGCACCGGCUAACUCCGUG
RNAcentral lists this ribosomal RNA (485 nucleotides) under uncultured bacterium. RNAcentral describes it as "bacterial SSU rRNA". It matches the Rfam family "Bacterial small subunit ribosomal RNA", at positions 33 to 507 of the family's 1533-position model. The record is from RNAcentral.